GGUAAGGUAAGCUAAUCAAGCUUCUGAACUCAUGAUUCACCCAUGUCGGUUAAAAUCCCACCCUUGCCA
This 69-nucleotide transfer RNA is filed under the name Occidozyga martensii (round-tongued floating frog). RNAcentral's name for it is "tRNA-Met". It matches the Rfam family "tRNA". Rfam says of the family: Transfer RNA (tRNA) molecules are approximately 80 nucleotides in length. Their secondary structure includes four short double-helical elements and three loops (D, anti-codon, and T loops). Further hydrogen bonds mediate the characteristic L-shaped molecular structure. tRNAs have two regions of fundamental functional importance: the anti-codon, which is responsible for specific mRNA codon recognition, and the 3' end, to which the tRNAs corresponding amino acid is attached (by aminoacyl-tRNA synthetases). tRNAs cope with the degeneracy of the genetic code in two manners: having more than one tRNA (with a specific anti-codon) for a particular amino acid; and 'wobble' base-pairing, i.e. permitting non-standard base-pairing at the 3rd anti-codon position. Lineage: Eukaryota; Metazoa; Chordata; Amphibia; Anura; Dicroglossidae. The record is from RNAcentral.